GCGCCUGUAGCUCAGUCGGACAGAGCAACAGCCUUCUAAGCUGUGGGCCGCAGGUUCGAUUCCUGCCAGGCGCA
This 74-nucleotide transfer RNA is filed under the name Nitrospirota bacterium. RNAcentral describes it as "Nitrospirae bacterium (groundwater metagenome) tRNA-Arg". It matches the Rfam family "tRNA". From Rfam's summary of the family: Transfer RNA (tRNA) molecules are approximately 80 nucleotides in length. Their secondary structure includes four short double-helical elements and three loops (D, anti-codon, and T loops). The record is from RNAcentral. Lineage: Bacteria; Pseudomonadati; Nitrospirota.